ACGCUCGACACCUACGGGAAGGCAGCAGGUGGGGGAUAUUGCACAAUGGGGGAAACCCUGAUGCAGCAACGCCGCGUGAAGGAUGAAGGUUUUCGGAUUGUAAACUUCUGUUCUUAGUGACGAUAAUGACGGUAGCUAAGAAGAAAGCUCCGGCUAACUACGUGCCUGCAGCCGCGGUAAUCUGAGCGGGCUGGCAAGGC
RNAcentral lists this ribosomal RNA (200 nucleotides) under uncultured bacterium. RNAcentral describes it as "partial 16S ribosomal RNA". It matches the Rfam family "Bacterial small subunit ribosomal RNA", at positions 328 to 539 of the family's 1533-position model. The record is from RNAcentral.